This 1425-nucleotide long non-coding RNA is filed under the name Homo sapiens (human). RNAcentral's name for it is "HSALNT0354279". Lineage: Eukaryota; Metazoa; Chordata; Mammalia; Primates; Hominidae. The record is from RNAcentral.
GGCACAUUCCUAGCUGAGGUCCCAACCAAGAGCCAGCAUGAACCACUAGACACUUGCACAUGUGAGCCUUCAUAUGAUGCAGUCCUCAGGCUUGGAGCCAGUCCAGGUAAUGGAGCAGAGACUGGAGCAGAGACAAGUUGUUCCCACUGAGCUCUCCUCAGAUUACAGAUUGGGAGUGGCAAAUCAAAGGCAUUGCAGCCUCUUUCAUCACUGCCGAUUGCUGAUGCCAACCAUGUGCCAAGUGCUUAAUACGUCACCUUAAAUCUUCUCAUCCACCCUCAGAGUAGCUGCAGCAUCAACCCAGUGCCCUGACUUUCAAGACGACUAUGAAAACACCCCAACUGCUGCUAAAUUACCAGCAACAAGGAUCUGACAUUCUUAUUCAAAAGAAAGAACACCGAAAUUGACCUUACCCUGACAAUAUGAUGGCUGAAGGAUUUAUGAUCACUUAUAACAUUUGAAAUUGAGGCGGAACCUGAAGAAUAAGACUCUGGUGAAAGGUCCUAUUUAUGCUUUUGAUGUCUUUCACUUGGACAUUUACCACAUGCCUAUUGGUAGGUUUGUUACAUAGGUCAGUUAAGGUGAUACAAGAAUAAAUAAAACACUAUCCCUAUCCUUUAAUAUCAUUUAUUUAUGGGGUCAAUCACAGAUUUUCAUUUUUCAAAAUCUUUGAUAAAUGUCAGAAUUAUGUUUUUUAAUAUUUUUACAGAAUUAUUACAAUAUAUGGUAGAGGAUGGAAGGCAAGGUAGUAUGAAACGGAAAAGAUAUUUUGAAUUAAGGUAUUUGGACCUGGAUUAAUAUUUUUGCUUUGGUCUUUAUUAGCUGAGUGACCUUGAGAAAGUUCUUCUACUAAAAAAGAACAAAGAUAAUAAUUACUUCAUGAAAUUGCUGUAAAAAACACAUAACAAGUAUAUCCAGACUCAACAGUGUAUGCUCAAAAAUGCAGAUCCUUUUUCCCUUACCUGCAAAUAAAGUCUUACAGUAAUACAGUGGGGGUAAAGGUUUAAACUGGUGGAUUCAAGAAGGGCUAUAGAAAGAGGUAGCAUCUUAAUAGGGGAAGGAGAGGAUCCAAGAAAUCAGAUCCAUUUUCUACAAAAAGAAAUGGGAAGACAGAUAAUUCAAGAAGAAAAGUUUACAUGAUUAAAGACCCGAAGUUAGAAAUAGUGAUGUGUCUCAAUAGUAAGUUAGGAAUUGGGGUGGACACAAUUGUUGGAAGAAGGAUGGUUUCAGCAAAGGCCCAAGUUAGGUGACAAUUUCAAGUGUUUGUGAAGAUAUAUGAACAAAAUUAUAAAGUAGUUAGGGUAUAAGAAAUAGGGAGGAGGGAAUGAAUUAACAUUUAUGGAGUGUCUUGCAUGUUCCAAGCACUGUACUACUUGCCUUAUAAACCUUUCUUCAAUAAACGCCUACAACAAUCCUGAGAUGUGG